GACGAACGCUGGCGGCGUGCUUAACACAUGCAAGUCGAACGGAAAGGCCCUGCUUUUGUGGGGUGCUCGAGUGGCGAACGGGUGAGUAACACGUGAGUAACCUGCCCUUGACUUUGGGAUAACUUCAGGAAACUGGGGCUAAUACCGGAUAGGAGCUCCUGCUGCAUGGUGGGGGUUGGAAAGUUUCGGCGGUUGGGGAUGGACUCGCGGCUUAUCAGCUUGUUGGUGGGGUAGUGGCUUACCAAGGCUUUGACGGGUAGCCGGCCUGAGAGGGUGACCGGCCACAUGGGGACUGAGAUACGGCCCAGACUCCUACGGGAGGCAGCAGUGGGGAAUAUUGCACAAUGGUCGGAAGCCUGAUGCAGCAACGCCGCGUGCGGGAUGACGGCCUUCGGGUUGUAAACCGCUUUCGCCUAUGACGAAGCGUGAGUGACGGUAAUGGGUAAAGAAGCACCGGCUAACUACGUG
RNAcentral lists this ribosomal RNA (468 nucleotides) under uncultured bacterium. Its description in RNAcentral is "partial 16S ribosomal RNA". It matches the Rfam family "Bacterial small subunit ribosomal RNA", at positions 28 to 507 of the family's 1533-position model. The record is from RNAcentral.